AUUGAACGCUGGCGGCAUGCUUUACACAUGCAAGUCGAACGGCAGCGCGGGCUUCGGCCUGGCGGCGAGUGGCGAACGGGUGAGUAAUGCAUCGGAACGUGCCCAGUAGUGGGGGAUAGCCCGGCGAAAGCCGGAUUAAUACCGCAUACGACCUGAGGGUGAAAGCGGGGGACCGAAAGGCCUCGCGCUAUUGGAGCGGCCGAUGUCGGAUUAGCCAGUUGGUGGGGUAAAGGCUUACCAAGGCGACGAUCCGUAGCUGGUCUGAGAGGACGACCAGCCACACUGGGACUGAGACACGGCCCAGACUCCUACGGGAGGCAGCAGUGGGGAAUGUUGGACAAUGGGGGCAACCCUGAUCCAGCCAUGCCGCGUGCGGGAAGAAGGCCUUCGGGUUGUAAACCGCUUUUGUUCGGGAAGAAAUCCUCUGGGCUAAUACCCCGGGGGGAUGACGGUACCGGAAGAAUAAGCACCGGCUAACUACGUG
RNAcentral lists this ribosomal RNA (484 nucleotides) under uncultured bacterium. RNAcentral's name for it is "partial 16S ribosomal RNA". It matches the Rfam family "Bacterial small subunit ribosomal RNA", at positions 28 to 507 of the family's 1533-position model. The record is from RNAcentral.